GCUCCUUCUUCUUUUUUUUUCUUCCACUCUUAAAAAGCUUCUUUCUCUUCACCCAAGCCUCACUGUCCCUCUCCGGCUCUAGCUCUCUCCAUAUAAACCCUCAAGAUUAUGUCAAUUGGUUAGAGCCAGCCGGGAAUUUCGUGCGGGUGCUGAAGGAGCUGCGGGAGCCGGAGAAGAAUGAAACUGCGUGGAGUCAGCCUGGCUGCCGGCUUGUUCUUACUGGCCCUGAGUCUUUGGGGGCAGCCUGCAGAGGCUGCGGCUUGCUAUGGGUGUUCUCCAGGAUCAAAGUGUGACUGCAGUGGCAUAAAAGGGGAAAAGGGAGAGAGAGGGUUUCCAGGUUUGGAAGGACACCCAGGAUUGCCUGGAUUUCCAGGUCCAGAAGGGCCUCCAGGGCCUCGGGGACAAAAGGGUGAUGAUGGAAUUCCAGGGCCACCAGGACCAAAAGGAAUCAGAGGUCCUCCUGGACUUCCUGGAUUUCCAGGGACACCAGGUCUUCCUGGAAUGCCAGGCCACGAUGGGGCCCCAGGACCUCAAGGUAUUCCUGGAUGCAAUGGAACCAAGGUGAGAUCCAUCCAUUUAAUCUUGGGUAGUAUACUUGACAAUAAUUAACUUAAAAACCUAAAGAAAUCAAUAUGAAGAAUGUAGAAGAAGGGAUAUAGUGGCUUCAGGUCUUGGCUAUUACAUAAAGUAUGCUCUGACUACAAUUUUCUAUAUAUUGAACUAUCAAUAAUUUCAUUAAACAUGUAUAAUUAGCUGGGAUAUUGCAUUGGGUUGA
RNAcentral lists this small RNA (775 nucleotides) under Pan troglodytes (chimpanzee). Its description in RNAcentral is "retained intron". The record is from RNAcentral. Lineage: Eukaryota; Metazoa; Chordata; Mammalia; Primates; Hominidae.